This 72-nucleotide transfer RNA is filed under the name Ictidomys tridecemlineatus (thirteen-lined ground squirrel). Its description in RNAcentral is "Spermophilus tridecemlineatus (thirteen-lined ground squirrel) tRNA". It matches the Rfam family "tRNA". From Rfam's summary of the family: Transfer RNA (tRNA) molecules are approximately 80 nucleotides in length. The record is from Rfam by way of RNAcentral. Lineage: Eukaryota; Metazoa; Chordata; Mammalia; Rodentia; Sciuridae.
GGGGGUGUGGCUCAGCAGUAGAGCACUCGCCUCACACGUGCGAAACCCUGAGUUCAAUCCUCAGCACCCAUA